GAAAUGUGAUACUUAAUGUGAAUUGCAGAAUACCGUGAAUCAUCGAAAUCUUGAACGCAUACUGCGCCUGAGAGUCAUCUCUUAGGCAUGCCUGUUAGAGUGUCAGUUAUCAUAUCAAUCUAGCUGAAAUGGCUGGGACUUUGGUGGUACAUGGAGUAAAAUCCGUUUUCCGCUUAAAAUAUAGUAUUUCUGGGCCAAGCGUAUCCAAAACUACCUGCUUGCCGUGAACUGUUAAAUAGUGCCUAUAAAAAGGUUUAUUAUACAGCCUCAGGCAGUAUGGCAAGUUUGGCCAACGGCUUCCUGGAUAAUACAUUUUUUGAACCUCGAUCUUUCCAGUAGCUACGGGCUCGCUAAAGAUCACCUUUAACAAUUUGACCUCUAAUAGACAAGACUACCCGCU
Molecule: unclassified non-coding RNA, 400 nt
Filed under: uncultured fungus
Lineage: Eukaryota; Fungi
Description: sequence contains ITS1
Rfam family: 5.8S ribosomal RNA (bases 1-105)
Source: RNAcentral